AUGGAGAAGGCAAGAAAGCACAUGCCUUCAUCGUCUUCCUUCAUAGGAAUACUUCUCUUGAUCAAGGUCUUGCCUUCAGGGCCUGGUUUCACACGUGCAACAGAUACUCUUCUUCCAGGCCAAUCUCUGAGUGGUAACCGGACCUUGCUUUCAAAGAAUGGUACAUUCAAGUUGGGUUUCAACUGCCUAUCUCCCCCAUGUUAUUCAGAUUCUACCUUUGGCAUAUGGUACGUUAACUCAUCAACUUGUAGCCCUCUUCUAGUUUGGGCGCCCGACACGGUUUUGCCCAUCUUUAGAACUUGGUCCUCAUCAUUUGGACUCUUAGAAGAUGGCAACCUAUAUCUUAAAAGUGAUGAAGGCUCACUUGUUUGGUCAGCAUUUAGAACCGGCGGAUAUAUUUCUGUACUUGCAAUACUUCUUGACAACGGAAAUCUCGUUAUAAGGGACCAAGUGGAUAUUUCUGCUGUGUUGUGGCAAAGCUUCGACAACCCACUUGGUACAAUACUACCUGGGGGCUGGAUGGGAUCUAAUAGGAUCACUAACAAAGAAGCCUUCCUUAUUUCCAGGGCUUCCUGUUCUGGGAUUGAUCGUUCUACUUUGACAAUAUAUCCAGAGCAAAGUAGAGAAAUUUUGGUUCGGCUUAUUCCUGACAUACUCCCUCCGUUCCUAAAUGUUUGUCUUUCUAGAGAUUUCAACAAGUGA
RNAcentral lists this ribosomal RNA (702 nucleotides) under Triticum aestivum (bread wheat). RNAcentral describes it as "partial small subunit ribosomal RNA". Lineage: Eukaryota; Viridiplantae; Streptophyta; Magnoliopsida; Poales; Poaceae. The record is from RNAcentral.